GCCGCUGUGGUGGAAUAGGCAGACACAAGGGACUUAAAAUCCCUCGCUGGCGACAGCGUACCGGUUCAAGUCCGGUCAGCGGCACCA
RNAcentral lists this transfer RNA (87 nucleotides) under Clostridia bacterium. RNAcentral's name for it is "tRNA-Leu". It matches the Rfam family "tRNA". Rfam says of the family: Transfer RNA (tRNA) molecules are approximately 80 nucleotides in length. Their secondary structure includes four short double-helical elements and three loops (D, anti-codon, and T loops). Lineage: Bacteria; Bacillati; Bacillota; Clostridia. The record is from RNAcentral.